GCCAGCGUAGCUCAGCGGUAGAGCAACUGAUUCGUAAUCAGUAGGUCGGUGGUUCAAUCCCACUCGCUGGCU
This 72-nucleotide transfer RNA is filed under the name Deltaproteobacteria bacterium. RNAcentral's name for it is "tRNA-Thr". It matches the Rfam family "tRNA". From Rfam's summary of the family: Transfer RNA (tRNA) molecules are approximately 80 nucleotides in length. Their secondary structure includes four short double-helical elements and three loops (D, anti-codon, and T loops). Further hydrogen bonds mediate the characteristic L-shaped molecular structure. tRNAs have two regions of fundamental functional importance: the anti-codon, which is responsible for specific mRNA codon recognition, and the 3' end, to which the tRNAs corresponding amino acid is attached (by aminoacyl-tRNA synthetases). tRNAs cope with the degeneracy of the genetic code in two manners: having more than one tRNA (with a specific anti-codon) for a particular amino acid; and 'wobble' base-pairing, i.e. permitting non-standard base-pairing at the 3rd anti-codon position. Lineage: Bacteria; Pseudomonadati; Myxococcota; Myxococcia. The record is from RNAcentral.